This 767-nucleotide ribosomal RNA is filed under the name Arthrobacter sp. RNAcentral's name for it is "bacterial SSU rRNA". It matches the Rfam family "Bacterial small subunit ribosomal RNA", at positions 67 to 845 of the family's 1533-position model. The record is from RNAcentral. Lineage: Bacteria; Bacillati; Actinomycetota; Actinomycetes; Micrococcales; Micrococcaceae.
CGAUGAUCUCCAGCUUGCUGGGGUGAUUAGUGGCGAACGGGUGAGUAACACGUGAGUAACCUGCCCUUGACUCUGGGAUAAGCCUGGGAAACUGGGUCUAAUACCGGAUAUGACCUUCCAUCGCAUGGUGGUUGGUGGAAAGCUUUUGUGGUUUUGGAUGGACUCGCGGCCUAUCAGCUUGUUGGUGGGGUAAUGGCCUACCAAGGCGACGACGGGUAGCCGGCCUGAGAGGGUGACCGGCCACACUGGGACUGAGACACGGCCCAGACUCCUACGGGAGGCAGCAGUGGGGAAUAUUGCACAAUGGGCGCAAGCCUGAUGCAGCGACGCCGCGUGAGGGAUGACGGCCUUCGGGUUGUAAACCUCUUUCAGUAGGGAAGAAGCGUAAGUGACGGUACCUGCAGAAGAAGCGCCGGCUAACUACGUGCCAGCAGCCGCGGUAAUACGUAGGGCGCAAGCGUUAUCCGGAAUUAUUGGGCGUAAAGAGCUCGUAGGCGGUUUGUCGCGUCUGCCGUGAAAGUCCGGGGCUCAACUCCGGAUCUGCGGUGGGUACGGGCAGACUAGAGUGAUGUAGGGGAGACUGGAAUUCCUGGUGUAGCGGUGAAAUGCGCAGAUAUCAGGAGGAACACCGAUGGCGAAGGCAGGUCUCUGGGCAUUAACUGACGCUGAGGAGCGAAAGCAUGGGGAGCGAACAGGAUUAGAUACCCUGGUAGUCCAUGCCGUAAACGUUGGGCACUAGGUGUGGGGGACAUUCCACGUUUUCCGCG